GUUAUUAAAAGCUAAAACUACACUAACUAAAAACUUUAAUAUAGUUGAUUUGUGUAAACAAACAUUAUUAGUUGACAAGACAUCACAACAAUUUAUACUCUGUCGAUAUAGCACUAAAUUGUUGAACCCUAAAAUUACAAAAGAUCUCGGUCAAGUAGCAAUCACAAAUCUGGCUAAAUAAGCAAAACCACAAUUUUAUUAUUUGACCUGCACAAAAACAUUACGAAAAAAAAAAUUCAAAACACAAAAAAGAAAACAAGAAGAGGAUUGCAUGAGCCAAUUGUAUGAAAAUGAUAUCUAAAUGACAAAAGGGCUCCACUUUGGACCUAUUAUUUAUUCACCCUUGUUGACUGGGCUUUAAUUCUCACUUACAUCAUGUAUGCCCACGAAUGACAAAAAAUUC
Molecule: long non-coding RNA, 403 nt
Filed under: Salvia miltiorrhiza (redroot sage)
Lineage: Eukaryota; Viridiplantae; Streptophyta; Magnoliopsida; Lamiales; Lamiaceae
Description: long non-coding RNA (SMIL_LNC001786)
Source: RNAcentral